This 437-nucleotide ribosomal RNA is filed under the name uncultured bacterium. RNAcentral's name for it is "bacterial SSU rRNA". It matches the Rfam family "Bacterial small subunit ribosomal RNA", at positions 355 to 796 of the family's 1533-position model. The record is from RNAcentral.
UGGGGAAUCUUGCGCAAUGGGCGAAAGCCUGACGCAGCGACGCCGCGUGGGGGAUGAAGCUUCUCGGAGUGUAAACCCCUUUCGACCCGGACGAAACGCCCGCAAGGGCUUGACGGUACGGGUAUAAGAAGCCCCGGCUAACUACGUGCCAGCAGCCGCGGUAAGACGUAGGGGGCCAGCGUUGCUCGGAAUUACUGGGCGUAAAGGGUUCGUAGGCGGUGCGGUAAGUCGGAAGUGAAAUCUCUGGGCUUAACUCAGAGGCUGCUUUCGAAACUGCCGUGCUAGAGUGCGGGAGAGGCGAGUGGAAUUACAGGUGUAGCGGUGAAAUGCGUAGAUAUCUGUAGGAACACCCGUGGCGAAGGCGGCUCGCUGGACCGCAACUGACGCUGAGGAACGAAAGCUAGGGGAGCAAACAGGAUUAGAUACCCCCGUAGUCC